Phymastichus coffea is the source of this 740-nucleotide long non-coding RNA. RefSeq lists it as uncharacterized. The record is from RefSeq and is a predicted model, not a curated record. NCBI's taxonomy places the organism in Eukaryota, Metazoa, Arthropoda, Insecta, Hymenoptera, Eulophidae. The transcript is spliced from 3 exons.
CGCGCGAUGAACUUCUAGUAUAUUAUAAAGUAAUACCCUUUUUCCUGUAUAUUUAAGCGGUGCCCACACAGCGUUAAACGUAGCUGCAAGUUUUCUGCAGUUUCAUGAAAGGUUCGAAACAUGUCAGUAAUAUUUCAUUGAAACAUUUCUGUAACCUCCCUUGUACGGACUUAUAAAUGUAUAUUUGUGUACUUGUGCGACAACAACUACAAAAAUAUCGAACAGAAAGAUUUCAUGAAACAUUUCAUAUAAGUUUUACAAAAUUAUCAGGAAAUUUUUGUGAAAUCUUUUGGUACAGUUUUUACAGAAUAGAUAUUUAUAUAUUAAUUAUAAGUUUGGCUCGCAACAUGAAUGGAACCCCGGACGCAAGGGGUAUCUCGCUGAUACUUAACCAACAACACUAUUGCAACACUUAGAGAUAAAUGAUUAUUCACACAUCAGUUAUAAAAAGUCAUAAAACUUAUUUCCAAGACAUAAAGUAUUGGUAUCAGAUUAGUAAGUAAAUUCAGUAAUUAAGAACAAUAUGAGUAGAAAAUAUGUUCAAACCAGAAUGAAAAUUCUAUUCAAAAUGUUUCUUAUGAUAUUCAAGUAUUAGUCUAGAUAAUAAUUUAAUUUUGUUGAAUAAUUAAUGUAAUUUAAUAAAUUAAAAAUAUAUUCGUCAAUGCAAUAUCUACUCUUUUUAACAUUGAACAGUAAUUUUUCUAAAUCUAACUACCUACAGCAAAUGUAACUUGGAUACA